CGUCAAAUCAUCAUGCCCCUUAUGACCUGGGCUACACACGUGCUACAAUGGAUGGUACAACGAGUCGCUACCUAGUGAUAGGACGCUAAUCUCUUAAAACCAUUCUCAGUUCGGAUUGUAGGCUGCAACUCGCCUACAUGAAGUCGGAAUCGCUAGUAAUCGCGGAUCAGCACGCCGCGGUGAAUACGUUCCCGGGCCUU
RNAcentral lists this ribosomal RNA (200 nucleotides) under uncultured prokaryote. RNAcentral's name for it is "partial 16S ribosomal RNA". It matches the Rfam family "Bacterial small subunit ribosomal RNA", at positions 1183 to 1382 of the family's 1533-position model. The record is from RNAcentral.